This 107-nucleotide ribosomal RNA is filed under the name Pedobacter sp. The record is from RNAcentral. Lineage: Bacteria; Pseudomonadati; Bacteroidota; Sphingobacteriia; Sphingobacteriales; Sphingobacteriaceae.
UGCCUAUAUCGGCGGUGUCCACCUCUUCCCAUUCCGAACAGAGAAGUUAAGCCCGCCUGAGCCGAUGGUACUGCGGUAACACGUGGGAGAGUAGGUCGGUGCCUAAA